CGUUUAUUUGAUAGUACCUUACUACUUGGAUAACCGUGGUAAUUCUAGAGCUAAUACAUGCUAAAAACCCCGACUUCGGGAGGGGUGUAUUUAUUAGAUAAAAAACCAAUGCCCUUCGGGGCUCCUUGGUGAAUCAUAAUAACUUAACGGAUCGCAUGGCCUUGCGCCGGCGACGGUUCAUUCAAAUUUCUGCCCUAUCAACUUUCGAUUGUAGGGUAUUGGCCUACAAUGGUAUCAACGGGUAACGGGGAAUUAGGGUUCGAUUCCGGAGAGGGAGCCUGAGAAACGGCUACCACAUCCAAGGAAGGCAGCAGGCGCGCAAAUUACCCAAUCCCGACACGGGGAGGUAGUGACAAUAAAUACUGAUACAGGGCUCUUUUGGGUCUUGUAAUUGGAAUGAGUACAAUUUAAAUCCCUUAACGAGGAACAAUUGGAGGGCAAGUCUGGUGCCAGCAGCCGCGGUAAUUCCAGCUCCAAUAGCGUAUAUUAAAGUUGUUGCAGUUAAAAAGCUCGUAGUUGAACCUUGGGCCUGGCUGGCCGGUCCGCCUCACCGCGUGCACUGGUCCGGCCGGGCCUUUCCUUCUGGAGAGCCGCAUGCCCUUCACUGGGUGUGUCGGGGAACCAGGACUUUUACUUUGAAAAAAUUAGAGUGUUCAAAGCAGGCCUUUGCUCGAAUACAUUAGCAUGGAAUAAUAGAAUAGGACGUGCGGUUCUAUUUUGUUGGUUUCUAGGACCGCCGUAAUGAUUAAUAGGGAUAGUCGGGGGCAUCAGUAUUCAAUUGUCAGAGGUGAAAUUCUUGGAUUUAUUGAAGACUAACUACUGCGAAAGCAUUUGCCAAGGAUGUUUUCAUUAAUCAGUGAACGAAAGUUAGGGGAUCGAAGACGAUCAGAUACCGU
This 896-nucleotide ribosomal RNA is filed under the name Rhytidhysteron bruguierae. RNAcentral describes it as "SSU rRNA". It matches the Rfam family "Eukaryotic small subunit ribosomal RNA", at positions 114 to 1018 of the family's 1831-position model. Lineage: Eukaryota; Fungi; Ascomycota; Dothideomycetes; Hysteriales; Hysteriaceae. The record is from RNAcentral.